This 439-nucleotide ribosomal RNA is filed under the name uncultured bacterium. RNAcentral's name for it is "partial 16S ribosomal RNA". It matches the Rfam family "Bacterial small subunit ribosomal RNA", at positions 339 to 795 of the family's 1533-position model. The record is from RNAcentral.
CUACGGGCUGCUGCAGUGAGGAAUAUUGCACAAUGGGGGGAACCCUGAUGCAGCAACGCCGCGUGGAGGAUGACGCAUUUCGGUGUGUAAACUCCCUUUAUAUGUCAAGAAAAUGACGGUAGCAUAUGAAUAAGCACCGGCUAACUCCGUGCCAGCAGCCGCGGUAAUACGGAGGGUGCAAGUGUUACUCGGAAUCACUGGGCGUAAAGGACGCGUAGGCGGGUUGGAAAGUCAGGUGUGAAAUCCUACAGCUUAACUGUAGAACUGCACUUGAAACUUCUAAUCUAGAGUAUGGGAGGGGGAGAUGGAAUUAGUGGUGUAGGGGUAAAAUCCGUAGAUAUCACUAGGAAUACCUAAAGCGAAGGCGAUCUCCUGGAACAUUACUGACGCUAAGGCGUGAAAGCGUGGGGAGCAAACAGGAUUAGAUACCCCGGUAGUC